UUCAGGUGUUUCGCGUUCGGUGCUUUGCAGCGCUAAGCGCGAGAUGAAACGGGAAGCCGGUGCGCCUUUAACUAGGCAAGGCCGGCGCUGCCCCCGCAACGGUAAGCGAGUUUUUCGAAGAGUCCGUCGGACGAUUCGAGCGGAUCACAAGCCACUGCCCCACCGCACUGGUGGAGUGGGAAGGCGAUCCGCAGGCUGCCCCAGCCAAUCGCGAGCCCGGAGACCGGCCUGAAGUCCCAAGUUGAU
This 246-nucleotide non-coding RNA is filed under the name Candidatus Muproteobacteria. The record is from RNAcentral. Lineage: Bacteria; Pseudomonadati; Pseudomonadota.